CAGCUGUAUUCAAGGAGGUAAUUUUGUCUUUUCCAUUCUUUGCCAGGGUAGUUGAUGCAGGACUGCUGGAGGGCUGAGGAGAAAUCUAAAUCUUCUUCCUGAACUGUCAAACUGUCAGAAACCUAUUUUAAAACUACGACCAUUUGAUGGGUUGGAGGAUGAACUAUACAUUCAUAUUUGUAUUAUUUAAAUGGAACAGUUGAGCAAGAUGACAGGCUGUUGAAUUAAAUAUAUUAAAUGUAUGUUUGCUAAUACUGGUAAGAUGGAAAAGCACUUUCAGCUUUCCCAACACAUUCAUAAAGGCUGUUUUGACAGCUUCCACUGUCUACACUUUGCACGUCUUAGCAUGGAGGCCCAUUUUUCUGCUCUUAAAAUACACACAGGCAUUACUUUCCAUUCAGUAAUGGUAUAGGCUGUUGUAGUUCCACAUUUUAGCUAAGGGAAGCUCCCAACUCUGGCUCUGUGGAGAGGAGAAGCUUUUCCCCAGCUUUCAUAGAUUCCAGUUACAGUUAUACAAUCAUUUCUUAGAGGCAGAGCUGCUCUGAAGGCAGACAUAAUCACAUUGGUUGAGUUAAACUUCAAUGGAUGCAGCCAAGGAAACAUAGCUUUGUAGCCUGGGAAAUUUGAAUGGUUUAAAAAUAUGAAUAUACAAUGAACUUGAAAGGUCAGUUAGGGUAAUUGACAACUUUUAUCAGCAUUAUUUCAAUUAGAAAAAAGAAAUAGAGAUAGACUUAAUGAUCUUAGUUUCAUGCUCUCUUACUUUUGCAUUGAGGUUUAAUGUUUCUAAGCCAGAAAAAAAAAAACUUAACCACCAAGAUUAUUUCUGCCCUCAGAGCAGCUAGCCUGCUGAGAGCUGUUUGCAAAACUAAAAGUCCAAUCUACUCUUGUGUCAGGGUUGCAGAGUGAUGGUUGGUGGUUCAUAUAAUAUGCUUGACUGGCUAGCAGUUUCACUGGCUUGGAAUGGACUGAAGUUAAAGCUGACCACAGAGUGAAGGAGGUUAACUCAUCUCCAUUAAUGCCUCAACAGCUAUGGUGUGGAGAGCUAAAUACAUUUGCAUUAUUUAUCCAUAAAAUGUAUAUUGCUUCAUAUGAUGACAUAGUUAGAGCUAAGAAUAUUGUGUUUAUUGGCAAGAGGUAAACCAGUGGAUUUAGUCAGUUCAGUUGUUUGGAUAAAACCAAAUUCAAAGCUCAUUUCCUUUUCUUUUGAGUACGCUAGCCUUCUCAAGUACUUUGAGUUAUCCCUCUUGUUUUUCUCGUCCCACGUCUCCGUGAGAUGACAAUUCCUGCUUCCAGCUGGAUCCAACUUUGAGCAAGUUGUAGCAAAGGCCAACUAUGUGGUUUGCAGUGUUUCAACACGCAGGCUAUGCCAGGCCCUCUUGGGUGUGAUCCACUGUUUUGUCAACAGCUUAUUUCUGUGGCCAUGAUUGCAGUUACAGAGCACUAAGUUACUGGUGCAGAAGCACGGGUUGUUUAUCAGAGUAUUAAGAACAAGACCUCUGAAUGAUUGUCUGAGGGAGGGAACACCUGACACAUUUCUUAUGUAAGGUUAUUUUCACAUUAUAUAUGGAUGAAAUGAGACAGAUGUUGUGCAAAUACAGUUUCAUGUUAUAGUGCAAGUACAUUUGGUACAUAGCACUAGGACAGGAACACAUUUAUUUAUUUAUGAAUGUUUUGUUGCAUUAUACUCUAUUAUUAAACAUUAAAAUAGACAUUUUAUAGCAAGAAAAGGUUGAAUUAAUAACUUUAACAGCGUGUCUUUUCCAUUUAGUUGGGUCGGUCAGCCAUGACAGUGAGCUAGCAUUUACAAUACCAGGCCCACAAACGAGUACACCUAAAUGGAACACAGCCCCAAAUACUGUGAUUAAAUACAGCUGCGCUAUUUCUGCUACGAUAGGUCAUGUUUGUUUUCGGAGGGGCGUUUUUGUUUUAGGCUAUAAGUAAUUGUUUUUCUCUUCUGGCCACAGUGGUGUAGAAGAGCUUCUAGAUGAGCUGACGGACUAAAUCCUCGACAUGUUGACACUUAAUAAAGUCGCGAUGGCUGACAUGUUAGCGAACAAGUGCCUAUUACAUAUUCAGCAGAAACAGAGCAACAUUAGCAUUGGUUUCUGGUCAGCUGACAGAGCCCCUUACAGUGCAGUGUAACCAUUGUGGAGUGGAAGAGCCGCUGAGGAGACAGGUUGACACCUCGCCGUUUAGAUGCUCUGCUGGGGACCUGCUGGGUCUUGGCCAUUCACUUGGAUGUUACUUUGACACAUACCACCCAACUUAACAUUGUUAAAGACCAAGGAUACCCCCCAAGGCUGAAUGUGCUCCCUGAUGGCAGCGGCCUCCCUAAGCUGGACGAUGCUCACUGCCACACCACAGAAACUGCUCAGAAACGGAUCAUGACAAAGAGCCCUGUUGACCUGUCCUCCGAACCCACCCUGAAUCUGAUUGAGCAUCUGCAGGAUGCACCAGAACAAGCCUGAUUUUCAAGUCCCCACGAUGCAACUCACAGGACCCAAAAGAUUGCUUGUUUUCACACUGUUAACUCUGUCCAGACAUCAGCAGUGUCAGCUUUGCAGGGAAAUUUUGACUAGAUGACACAGGCUGUCAAUAUAACAGACCUGCUCCUUGUUCUGUAUUUGUUUGCAUAUGGAGAAAUUUCUGUUUCUAUUUCCUUCUUAAAAAUUUGGUAAAUCAGCGAGCUGUGUAAUGUGUAUUUUAGGCUGUUAUUUGCCUUUCAAUAAAGCACAUUUUUCAACUGCCA
Long non-coding RNA from Lates calcarifer (barramundi perch), 2749 nucleotides. RefSeq lists it as uncharacterized. The record is from RefSeq and is a predicted model, not a curated record. Lineage: Eukaryota; Metazoa; Chordata; Actinopteri; Centropomidae. The transcript is spliced from 3 exons.